AAAAGCACUUUGGAAAGAGAGUGCAAGAGAUCGUGAAACCAAUAUGAAGGAAACAAACGUAGCCGACGGAUUAGGUAUGCAUUCAUCUAUGGUCUUCGGAUUGUGGUGCACUUGUGUACUGGUUGCGCUGGGUCUAUCGAUGCUGUUGUUUGAUGGGGGCAAGUGUGGACCGGCUUGUACGGAUACCUGUGCUCUUGGAUGGCAAUUAGUGUUGGUAGGGUUGUUGAGGUUGGCGUUUGUGGCUGCGUGUGGGAGUGCAUUGACCUUUGUGGUAGCACAUGUGUUGCUGUARAGUGUUGGUGUGCAUCUGUGCGUAGUUGCUCGUUGAUCUUCCCGGUGUCUAGUUGGUGAUACGUUUGACCCGUCUUGAAACACGGACCAAGGAGUUUAAAGUAUGCGCGAGUCAGAGAGUGGUGAAACUCAACGGCGUAAUGAAAGUGAAUAGCGUAUGUUAUGUCGAUGUGAUGGUGGGCUUGUCCUACUCGCAGCAUCGCCCCAUGCUGGAACUUCGGUUUGGUAUGGCGGUUGAGCGCAUGCUUUGAGACCCGAAAGAUGGUGAACUAUGCUCGAACAGGAUGAAGCCAGGGGAAACCCUGGUGGAAGUCCGAAGCGGUUCUGACGUGCAAAUCGAUCGUCUGAUUUGAGUAUAGGGGCGAAAGACUAAUCGAACUAUC
This 674-nucleotide ribosomal RNA is filed under the name Pseudaphelenchus scheffrahni. RNAcentral describes it as "eukaryotic LSU rRNA". It matches the Rfam family "Eukaryotic large subunit ribosomal RNA", at positions 367 to 944 of the family's 3401-position model. The record is from RNAcentral. Lineage: Eukaryota; Metazoa; Nematoda; Chromadorea; Rhabditida; Aphelenchoididae.